Molecule: ribosomal RNA, 632 nt
Filed under: Psammosilene tunicoides
Lineage: Eukaryota; Viridiplantae; Streptophyta; Magnoliopsida; Caryophyllales; Caryophyllaceae
Description: eukaryotic LSU rRNA
Rfam family: 5.8S ribosomal RNA (bases 244-398)
Source: RNAcentral
ACCUGCCCAGCAGAACGACCCGCGAACAUGUUUAUCUAUCUUGGGCGUCGCGGUGUUGCUCGGUACCUUGUGUGCCACCUCGUCCCUCGCCCAAGCUGGGCACCGCCCACUUGUGGGCUGGUUGCUUGGCACUUAAACGAACCCCGGCGCGAAAAGCGUCAAGGAACAUAAACUCAAUGUGCGCGCCCUCCUCUUGCCCGGUUAGCCGGUGCAUGGGUGUGGUGCCAUGUCUUAACAAUAAACGACUCUCGGCAACGGAUAUCUCGGCUCUCGCAUCGAUGAAGAACGUAGCGAAAUGCGAUACUUGGUGUGAAUUGCAGAAUCCCGUGAACCAUCGAGUCUUUGAACGCAAGUUGCGCCCGAAGCCUUUGGCUGAGGGCACGUCUGCCUGGGCGUCACGCAUCGCGUCUCCCCCACACCCACCUCGAGUGGAGGGGAAGGAGGAUGGCUUCCCGUGCCUCACCGGGCGCGGUUGGCCUAAAUUCGGAGCCCACGGCACUGAGCUGCCGCGGCGUUAGGUGGUGAACAUGGCCUUCUCGGCCAAGCGAACAACCCGUCGCGCAGCGCCCUGCCAAUGUGAGCUUGUAGGACCCUUUGAAGUUGCAUCACUGCAACUCAAACCGUUGCGACCC